This is a long non-coding RNA of Mauremys mutica (yellowpond turtle), 810 nucleotides long. RefSeq lists it as uncharacterized. NCBI's taxonomy places the organism in Eukaryota, Metazoa, Chordata, Testudines, Geoemydidae. The record is from RefSeq and is a predicted model, not a curated record. The transcript is spliced from 3 exons.
ACGCCUGGCUGACCCUGCCUGAUUGGUUUUUCAGAGAGAUCAGAGGAAAACUCCCAUUCUCUAUUUAAUUCUGCCUCCAGGAAGUGCCUUUACCUGCCUGCUUUCAGUUUUACAGGAUUCCUUUAUCAGCAACCAGUGAGUGGAAUGCAACAUACAGCUGAAUGUUAAAGAGACACGAGGCCUCUCUGCAAAACCAACUCCAGAAAAGGAGUGAGCCUGGAGUCUAGGCUGUGGGCCGCAUUUGAAACCAGGAAAGGCAACAACUCACACAACACUUCAGCAAAACCUCUUGUACAAAAUUCCUCUUCAGCAUCUGUCUGAUGUUUCUACUCUGUGAGCUGCUACAGUGUUAGCUCAGUUGUCUUCCAGCCUUCAUCUACAAACUUGUGGGACCUAGAUGGCAAAGGAAAAUGAAAACCAGAAAUUGAGCCUUUCAUCUCUAAGUCACAGGUUCAAAUGUGGCCUAGGCUGGCCAUAGUCCUACUCAGUGACCCAUGUGAACAAGUGAUGGUGUGUAGUCCCAUUCUUAGUGGCUGGGCCUUACAGAGAUUACAACUUGUGAUGAUAGUUUUGUGAGAUCCCUCAUUUGGUAACCUCUUUGAUGGUCUCAGGUGAGACAUGGAAAAUUGAAAUCAUUUGAAGAUGUUAAUUCCAUAACAGGAUUGAAGCUCAUUAGUGGGGAAUUGUUGGAGAAAGCUCUUUCUUUCCCUGGAUAAAUGGAGGACAUCAGCCUCUAGGGUUGUGAAUCUGACACCAGAUUCGCCAGAAACAAAUUUGCUUUGCUUCUUUGUAAAUUAGACUUAACGUCAG